Molecule: ribosomal RNA, 383 nt
Filed under: uncultured bacterium
Lineage: Bacteria
Description: bacterial SSU rRNA
Rfam family: Bacterial small subunit ribosomal RNA
Source: RNAcentral
UCAGGCCUAACACAUGCAAGUCGAACGGGAUCUUCGGAUCUAGUGGCGGACGGGUGAGUAACGCGUGGGAACGUGCCCUUUGCUUCGGAAUAGCCCCGGGAAACUGGGAGUAAUACCGGAUGAGCCCUACGGGGGAAAGAUUUAUCGGCGAAGGAUCGGCCCGCGUUGGAUUAGGUAGUUGGUGGGGUAAUGGCCUACCAAGCCGACGAUCCAUAGCUGGUUUGAGAGGAUGAUCAGCCACACUGGGACUGAGACACGGCCCAGACUCCUACGGGAGGCAGCAGUGGGGAAUCUUAGACAAUGGGGGAAACCCUGAUCUAGCCAUGCCGCGUGAGCGAAGAGAGGCCUUAGGGUUGUAAAGCUCUUCAGCUGGAAGAUAAUGA